GUUUUAUUGAGUUUUAUUUUGUAAUCAGCCUAAAAUACAAAGACAUUCAAGCAGUGCGAUGCAUGAGGAGUCUGCCAUGCAGACCAGCGAUCCUGAUCCUGUUGUCGGCCUUGGAUGAUGAGGUCCAGUUACCAGGAUAACUACUCUGCAGCUCACUGAUCCCAUCCUGCAGCUCAUCCAUGCCGUUCUCCUCUCAACAGACCAAAUCAAGAAAAAGGAAGCAGGAUGCUACUGUGGAUCUGCUGCAGUAUCUGGAGAGGUCAGAGGAACAGUUGAGGAGACACCAAGACCUGACCUCUGCCAUGCUCCAGAACAUCCAGAGACCAAGACCUGACCUCUGCCAUGCUCCAGAACAUCCAGAGACCAAGACCUGACCACUGCCAUGCUCCAGAACAUCCAGAGACCAAGACCUGACCACUGCUAUGCUCCAGAACAUCCAGAGGAUGGAUGAAAAUUCAAACACCUUGGUUGGACUGAUGGGACGUACGGUGUCAGUGCUGGAGAGACUGUCACAGAAAUAAAC
Amphiprion ocellaris (clown anemonefish) is the source of this 523-nucleotide long non-coding RNA. Lineage: Eukaryota; Metazoa; Chordata; Actinopteri; Pomacentridae. The record is from Ensembl.